Long non-coding RNA from Aedes albopictus (Asian tiger mosquito), 1187 nucleotides. RefSeq lists it as uncharacterized. NCBI's taxonomy places the organism in Eukaryota, Metazoa, Arthropoda, Insecta, Diptera, Culicidae. The record is from RefSeq and is a predicted model, not a curated record. The transcript is spliced from 2 exons.
UAGAGAAUUACAAUUUGUCUUAAACUCCAAACAAUAAAUUUCUUCUCUCUGAUAAUGUUAGUCUAUGAAAAAUAGUUGCUUUAGUGUUAAAUGAUAUAAAACUCAAAGCACUCAACCACAUAUCACAAUUUAGGUAAUCCAUACCAAGGUGUAACAAUGUAGUGUAUUGUGCAAACAUUGUUGAAAGUUAUAAAGAUGGAAACUUGCAACCAAUGAUGGAAACAUCAAUUCACAUUAUGUCAAAUUGUUGGUGCUUGUUUCAGAAAAGACACUUACACACGCGCAUUUCAAUAUAUGUAAUUGAUGCCGAACAAUUUGACAAAGUGUUGCGUGCAGCGGUGUUUGUGAGCGAAGCGAGGAGCGAGAAGGUAAAUACCGAUGAACUGAUUGCAGCUGCUGUAGUGAAAAUUUUCACACGAAACAAAAUUUGGAGUAAUACCGGACUCAACUCGGAAUUUAAUUUGUGCCCGUUUUAAGACCAAAUAUUGCAUCCAAUGCGAUCCUUAACGUGCCACUACUAGCGUCGGAAAAGUUUUCCCCCGGAACAUCAUCGCCGGCUUCUGACGCAUCGGCAUCCAGUAAUUGACCACCGUUGACGGCACUGCCUCGCAGACAAACAUCACCCCCCGCAUCACCCUUUUUACCGUGAUGGGGGUAGUUCCGACGUCCUAUAGGAUUCGAGUCUACCGGUGUUGUUCCACCAAUACCCCGCCGGAUGAGACGAUGAAAGCUGCUUUCGAGAUAGUGCUGAGCAGGUCUUGAGGAAACCGCUGUUGGUGAAUGGGGUGAUGAUUAGUGGGCAGUUUCAGUAUGCGAACGACGACGAGGAAAUGCAACUGUCGGUCGAGGUCAAUCCGGGAGUAUUCGCCGACUAGAAGCCCAACAAGCCCUGCCGGAAGGAAUUCAUCAAGAGAAAUAUUUUCGACUCGAACAAGGUUAGUUAAACCGGUCCGACAUUGUUUCUUGCCGGACGGCCAAACAAGCUUCCCAGGGAGCUGAUUCGAAUUCCUUGAGUAAUCGAGGGAAAGCAGUGUCGGGAGGAUGCAGACGUCCGGUGUUCAGGAGAAAAGUAACCCAUUUGUGCUUGAUUUGUGCUGAAAGAUCCUGGCGCUUUUUAUCGUUUGAUUAGAUCUUUUCCAAACGCUAACUAUUUAAAUAAAUAAUAUUUUAAUGAUAUUUUAUUACAA